This 109-nucleotide ribosomal RNA is filed under the name Sinocyclocheilus rhinocerous. The record is from RNAcentral. Lineage: Eukaryota; Metazoa; Chordata; Actinopteri; Cypriniformes; Cyprinidae.
GCUUACGGCCAUACCACCAUUUCUGCGCCAGAUCUUGGCAGCUAAGCAGGGUCGGGCCUGGUUAGUAUUUCGAUGGGAGACCGCCUGGGAAUACCAGGUGCUGUAAGCU